AAGGAUAAGGGUAAGGUGCCAAGUUCUAUUACAAUUCAAAACCAAACUUUUAUUAUCUGCGAAAAUAGGAAAAAUUUACAGAAAUUUAACCCGACCUAUUACACUACAGGACAUGAAAUUGAAAUUCAAUACAGGAAUGUGAAGCUGGUACAAGCAAGAAGAGCUAAUAUAAAUGAUUUAAUUGUGAUAGAACUUGGCACCUUACCCUUAUCCUUCCUUAGGAAAAGGCCUUGAUACAAGGGCAAGUUGAUGAGAACCAAAGCACCACAAAGAAGAAGUUGCAGAAACAUUUCCUCAAAAAGCCUAAAGUUCUCAUCCAUGAUCACUUUCUUCACCACUCCUGCAAAGCAAAACAAGUUAAGCAUUGCAAGUGUAGCUAAGAUGGUGAACAUUGGAGAGGAAGCUCCAAAGUCCAUUAUCUCUUUCUCAUAUCGUUGAGAUACAUCUUCAUCAGCUACUUUGGCAGUGAU
Molecule: unclassified non-coding RNA, 470 nt
Filed under: Hevea brasiliensis (rubber tree)
Lineage: Eukaryota; Viridiplantae; Streptophyta; Magnoliopsida; Malpighiales; Euphorbiaceae
Source: RNAcentral